Molecule: ribosomal RNA, 1413 nt
Filed under: Echinops witches'-broom phytoplasma
Lineage: Bacteria; Bacillati; Mycoplasmatota; Mollicutes; Acholeplasmatales; Acholeplasmataceae
Description: 16S ribosomal RNA
Rfam family: Bacterial small subunit ribosomal RNA
Source: RNAcentral
CCUUUAGACGUGGAUAACAAUUGGAAACAGUUGCUAAGACAGGAUAGGAAAUUAAGAGGCAUCUUUUAAUUUUUAAAAGACCUUUUUCGNAAGGUAUGCUUAAAGAGGGGCUUGCGCCACAUUAGUUAGUUGGUAAGGUAAAGGCUUACCAAGACGAUGAUGUGUAGCUGGACUGAGAGGUUGAACAGCCACAUUGGGACUGAGACACGGCCCAAACUCCUACGGGAGGCAGCAGUAAGGAAUUUUUGGCAAUGGAGGAAACUCUGACCGAGCGACGCCGCGUGAACAAUGAAGUACUUCGGUAUGUAAAGUUCUUUUAUUGAAAAAGAAAAAAUAGUGGAAAAACUAUCUUGACAUUAUUCAAUGAAUAAGCCCCGGCUAAUUAUGUGCCAGCAGCCGCGGUAAUACAUAAGGGGCGAGCGUUAUCCGGAAUUAUUGGGCGUAAAGGGUGCGUAGGCGGUUUGAUAAGUCUAUAGUUUAAAUGCAGCGCUUAACGCUGUAGCGCUAUAGAAACUGUCUGACUAGAGUUAGAUAGAGGCAAGCGGAAUUCCAUGUGUAGCGGUAAAAUGCGUAAAUAUAUGGAGGAACACCAGAGGCGUAGGCGGCUUGCUGGGUCUUAACUGACGCUGAGGCACGAAAGCGUGGGGAGCAAACAGGAUUAGAUACCCUGGUAGUCCACGCCGUAAACGAUGAGUACUAAGUGUCGGGUUUCGGCUCGGUACUGAAGUUAACACAUUAAGUACUCCGCCUGAGUAGUACGUACGCAAGUAUGAAACUUAAAGGAAUUGACGGGACCCCGCACAAGCGGUGGAUCAUGUUGUUUAAUUCGAAGAUACACGAAAAACCUUACCAGGUCUUGACAUAAUUUUGCGACAUUAUAGAAAUAUAAUGAAGGUUAUCAGAAUUACAGGUGGUGCAUGGUUGUCGUCAGCUCGUGUCGUGAGAUGUUAGGUUAAGUCCUAAAACGAGCGCAACCCUUGUCGUUAGUUGCGACCACGUAAUGGUGAGCACUUUAGCGAGACUGCCAAUGAAAAAUUGGAGGAAGGUGAGGAUUACGUCAAAUCAUCAUGCCCCUUAUGAUCUGGGCUACAAACGUGAUACAAUGGCUGUUACAAAGAGUAGCUACAACGUGAGUUUUUAGCCAAUCUCAAAAAAACAGUCUCAGUUCGGAUUGAAGUCUGCAACUCGACUUCAUGAAGUUGGAAUCGCUAGUAAUCGCGAAUCAGCAUGUCGCGGUGAAUACGUUCUCGGGGUUUGUACACACCGCCCGUCAAACCACGAAAGUUGAUAAUACCCGAAAGCGGUCACCUAACUUCGUCAGAAGAGGGAGCCGUCUAAGGUAGGAUCGAUGAUUGGGGUUAAGUCGUAACAAGGUAUCCCUACCGGAAGGUGGGGAUGGAUCACCUCCUUUCU